RNAcentral lists this transfer RNA (76 nucleotides) under Candidatus Peregrinibacteria bacterium. RNAcentral's name for it is "tRNA-Glu". It matches the Rfam family "tRNA". From Rfam's summary of the family: Transfer RNA (tRNA) molecules are approximately 80 nucleotides in length. The record is from RNAcentral. Lineage: Bacteria; Candidatus Peregrinibacteriota.
GGUCCCAUCGUCUAGUGGUCUAGGACACCACCCUCUCACGGUGGAGACACGGGUUCGACUCCCGUUGGGACUACCA